AUCCAGCUGACGAGUCGCAAAUGAAAUGAAACACACAUCCUGGAU
Molecule: non-coding RNA, 45 nt
Organism: Schistosoma mansoni
Lineage: Eukaryota; Metazoa; Platyhelminthes; Trematoda; Strigeidida; Schistosomatidae
Source: Rfam